CAUAUCUUUUGGCAUGGGGCACACACAGGCCUAGUUGGAUGUAUGAUCUGCAGGUUUGCUGCUCAUUGAGUUGACAGAUUUGACUAAUACAGUCAUUUGUUUCAAUUUUAGGAAAGGUCAUUGCGUUGGACACUUGAACCAGUUCCUCACUGCAGUACCCAGUCUUCAUCUUCAGUACCCUAGCUGGAGAAGAGCACACAGGCUGCAGGCUAGAGCUCUCCCAGUCGUUCAGGAACAGUGUGUCCUCAGACAUGUGAGCUCCUGAAGCUUAUGGGUGUGUCCAUCAUCCAGUGAAGUAAUUGAAUACUCUCCACCCAAGCUGCUAGACAUUCUGAAGAUUACACAUGGAGGUAAGACC
This 358-nucleotide long non-coding RNA is filed under the name Salmo trutta (river trout). Its description in RNAcentral is "lncRNA (ENSSTUG00000006084.1)". The record is from RNAcentral. Lineage: Eukaryota; Metazoa; Chordata; Actinopteri; Salmoniformes; Salmonidae.